RNAcentral lists this ribosomal RNA (352 nucleotides) under Vibrio cholerae. RNAcentral describes it as "bacterial SSU rRNA". It matches the Rfam family "Bacterial small subunit ribosomal RNA", at positions 768 to 1119 of the family's 1533-position model. The record is from RNAcentral. Lineage: Bacteria; Pseudomonadati; Pseudomonadota; Gammaproteobacteria; Vibrionales; Vibrionaceae.
GCAAACAGGAUUAGAUACCCUGGUAGUCCACGCCGUAAACGAUGUCUACUUGGAGGUUGUGCCCUAGAGGUGUGGCUUUCGGAGCUAACGCGUUAAGUAGACCGCCUGGGGAGUACGGUCGCAAGAUUAAAACUCAAAUGAAUUGACGGGGGCCCGCACAAGCGGUGGAGCAUGUGGUUUAAUUCGAUGCAACGCGAAGAACCUUACCUACUCUUGACAUCCAGAGAAUCUAGCGGAGACGCUGGAGUGCCUUCGGGAGCUCUGAGACAGGUGCUGCAUGGCUGUCGUCAGCUCGUGUUGUGAAAUGUUGGGUUAAGUCCCGCAACGAGCGCAACCCUUAUCCUUGUUUGCC